GAUCCUGGCUCAGGAUGAACGCUAGCUACAGGCUUAACACAUGCAAGUCGAGGGGCAUCAGUUUGGUUUGCUUGCAAACCAAAGCUGGCGACCGGCGCACGGGUGAGUAACACGUAUCCAACCUACCUCAUACUCGGGGAUAGCCUUUCGAAAGAAAGAUUAAUAUCCGAUAGCAUAUAUUUCCCGCAUGGGUUUUAUAUUAAAGAAAUUCGGUAUGAGAUGGGGAUGCGUUCCAUUAGUUUGUUGGGGGGUAACCG
RNAcentral lists this ribosomal RNA (257 nucleotides) under uncultured bacterium. Its description in RNAcentral is "partial 16S ribosomal RNA". It matches the Rfam family "Bacterial small subunit ribosomal RNA", at positions 15 to 263 of the family's 1533-position model. The record is from RNAcentral.